CGGGCCGCGCUCACCGAAGUCCAAGAACUGCUUCAUGGAGAGCGGGGACGGCGAGAAGCGCGCGUAGAAGUCCACUUGGCCCGGAACGCCACGUUCGGGCGCCGGGCCGGAGCCCGAGUGCGAGCACAGUCAUUCUCCAGCUGCGAUGAGGAGUAAGGGAAGACCAGCGGGAGCUGCAAUUCUCAGAGCUCUGGGAAGCCUUGUCUCAUCUUGUCACAGUAACUGUUACUGAUGGACAAUGACAGGUUAAGGAUGGUGCAUCUCAUAGUAGCCCAUGAAGGGAUUGAACCGGCAACCGUGAUGUUAUCAGCACCACGCUCUAAUCAACUGAGCUAAC
Molecule: long non-coding RNA, 337 nt
Organism: Rhinolophus ferrumequinum (greater horseshoe bat)
Lineage: Eukaryota; Metazoa; Chordata; Mammalia; Chiroptera; Rhinolophidae
Exons: 3
Source: RefSeq, a predicted model, not a curated record